Quercus lobata is the source of this 177-nucleotide long non-coding RNA. RefSeq lists it as uncharacterized. Lineage: Eukaryota; Viridiplantae; Streptophyta; Magnoliopsida; Fagales; Fagaceae. The transcript is spliced from 3 exons. The record is from RefSeq and is a predicted model, not a curated record.
CUCACCCUCUCCACUGUCACUCAGUCUCCACUCUCAAGCACCCUCUCCACCCUCAGUCAGUUCUCUCAGGCCCAUUAAAGGAAGAAGCAGUAGCAACAGCAGCCGCAGUAGUUUGCCACUGCUGCCUCAUAAACCAUAGGAAAAGGCUUGAAAAGGCUUCACAACAUAAGCUUUUAG